UACGGAGGGUGCAAGCGUUAAUCGGAAUUACUGGGCGUAAAGCGCGUGUAGGUGGUUGGACAAGUUCGGUGUGAAAGCCUCCGGCUCAACCGGGGAAUGGCACGGAAGACUGUUCGGCUAGAGGCAGCUAGAGGGACGUAGAAUUCCGGGUGUAGCGGUGAAAUGUGUAGAGAUCCGGAGGAAUACCAGUGGCGCAAGCGGCGUCCUGGGGCUGACCUGACACUGAGACGCGAAGGCGUGGGGAGCGAACGGG
Molecule: ribosomal RNA, 253 nt
Filed under: uncultured bacterium
Lineage: Bacteria
Description: partial 16S ribosomal RNA
Rfam family: Bacterial small subunit ribosomal RNA
Source: RNAcentral